RNAcentral lists this ribosomal RNA (1065 nucleotides) under Triticum aestivum (bread wheat). RNAcentral describes it as "partial small subunit ribosomal RNA". The record is from RNAcentral. Lineage: Eukaryota; Viridiplantae; Streptophyta; Magnoliopsida; Poales; Poaceae.
AUGGCGAGCGGGGUGGAUCGCAUCAGCACCCUCCCAGAUGCCGUCCUCCACCAAGUGCUCCACUUCCUGCCGUCUCAAGAGGUGGUGCGGACGUGCGUGCUCGCCCGGCGCUGGCUCGGCGUCUGGAGGUUCAUGCCCGCCCUCCGCUUCAACGGCGCCAAGGGGUGGGACAGCGCCGACAGGUUCGCCCAGUUCGUGGACCACCUGCUCCACCUCAGAUUCGAGGGCGACGGCAGCGCAUGCGCACCUCUGGAUUCCUGCGAUUUCGACUUCGAUGCCGACGGGUUCAUGCGAUUGCCCACUAAUGAGCAGCAUGCGAGCAACUGGAUCUGGAAAGUCGUCCCCAGUGUCCGGAUGCUCCGGCUUCGUGUGGUCGAGUUUGGGCAGGAACCCUCGCCACUAUCUGAUCUGCAUCUCGUUUCCCAGCACCUCACCAAGUUAGAGCUUGUUGGUGUCGGUGUGAAAGACAGCGUUGUUGAUUUUUCAGGCUGUCCGGCACUGGUGGAGCUGAGUAUGGAUGUUUGCGAUGUUUUUGUCAAACAGCUGCUGUCUCCAUCCUUGAAGCAUCUGCGCAUUACCCGCUGUUAUACCUCUGAGUACACUCGCAUCCUUAUUUCUUAUGGGGAUCCUGAAUAUGGGCCUAUUUAUGACCGCAAUAACAGCAUCUUCCUCAAAGGUUUAUCUGAAGCUACGGACUUGGAGUUAUCAGCUGAUUCGGAUUUGAUUCUUUUCGACAGGGAUUUGAAGUGGUGCCCUACAUUUACCAAGUUGAAGACUUUGUUACUUAAUGAUUGGUGUUUGGCUGCCAACCACAGUGCACUGAUUUGUUUUCUCCAACACUCGCCGAUUUUGGAGAAGCUUACUCUUCAACUUUCUAAGGGACCUUCAUAUGUGACUGAAACAGAAGGAAUGUACAAACCAUUGGGACUGUCAGUUGCAUCCAACUGUCUGAAGAUCGUUGAAAUUAGAUGUGCAAGUGUUGAUAGUAAGGUUUCAAUUUUGUUUGCAGUAGUUUCAGCUAAAACUAGAGGUACGACGUCGGGACGGCCUAUGACAAUAAGUUAG